Long non-coding RNA from Zalophus californianus (California sea lion), 443 nucleotides. RefSeq lists it as uncharacterized. NCBI's taxonomy places the organism in Eukaryota, Metazoa, Chordata, Mammalia, Carnivora, Otariidae. The record is from RefSeq and is a predicted model, not a curated record. The transcript is spliced from 3 exons.
GAGGGAGGAUGUGGAGGGAGGCAUAUGGAGGCAUGGCAUUUAAAAAUAGUGAAUUAUUCUACCUACUGAGGUGGUGAAAAGAAGAGGAGGCUGAGAAUUCUUCUAGCCCUGACAGCAGACAGGGGACCCCCUGGGAUGGAUCCAGGUAUUUGACUUGCUUCAGAAGACUCUGGAAGCUACCUAUUGCCCAGUAUUUUCCACUGCGGUCCCAGAGAGCCUUAGACUGUAUCCCCACCUGCUGGACACCAAGGAGAUCAACAACCCUGUCUCAGCUUUUUCUUUACAACAUACUAAAACUUCACUAAUACUCCACUUUUAUUCCAAGAUUAAAUUCUUCCUUCUCGGGCGCCUGGGAGUCUGCUUCUCCCUCUGACCCUCUUCCCUCUCGUGCUCUCUAUCUCUCAUUCUCUCUCUCAAAUAGAUAAAUAAAAUCUUAAAAAAAA